This 350-nucleotide ribosomal RNA is filed under the name uncultured bacterium. Its description in RNAcentral is "partial 16S ribosomal RNA". It matches the Rfam family "Bacterial small subunit ribosomal RNA", at positions 338 to 705 of the family's 1533-position model. The record is from RNAcentral.
CCUACGGGAGGCAGCAGUGGGGGAUAUUGCACAAUGGGGGGAACCCUGAUGCAGCGACGCCGCGUGGGUGAAGAAGCGCCUCGGCGCGUAAAGCCCUGUCAGCAGGGAAGAAAAUGACGGUACCUGAAGAAGAAGCCCCGGCUAACUACGUGCCAGCAGCCGCGGGAAUACGUAGGGGGCAAGCGUUAUCCGGAUUUACUGGGUGUAAAGGGGGCGCAGACGGCGAGGCAAGCCAGGAGUGAAAGCCCGGGGCCCAACCCCGGGACUGCGCUGGGAACGGGGUGGCUGGAGUGCAGGAGGGGGGGGGGGAUGUCGGGGUGGAGGGGUGAAAUGUGGAGAGAAAGGGAGGA